Long non-coding RNA from Phacochoerus africanus (Common warthog), 534 nucleotides. RefSeq lists it as uncharacterized. NCBI's taxonomy places the organism in Eukaryota, Metazoa, Chordata, Mammalia, Artiodactyla, Suidae. The record is from RefSeq and is a predicted model, not a curated record. The transcript has 3 exons.
GGGAGCCCGCGUCCAAGUCCCCGCAGCCGCGGUGGGGACCGGACGCUGGGGGCCCAGGCCCUCGGCCCGCCGCGUUCAUUUCCAUAAGAAAGCCGGCGUGGAGGCUGGAGGGAGGAUUCUGGCCCCUGCCGCCCUCCCCGCCCCACCCCCCAUAGCCGGCUUUCUGCUGGAAGCGGGCUGGCUCGGGAGCUCAGAGUCCCCAGUGUGCGCUCCUGUCUUUGAUGGUAUCGACAAAGUGUGGUUUCACGUGUUGCCCCAACUGAGGCUGGUUUCCUGUCUGUAUGCGGAGUGGAUGGAAGGACCGCGCUGGGCCUUUCUGCCUGCCUGGAGUCAUCUGGAGAGAAAUCAAGUGUGAGCACCUCUCCCGCAGAAAGUGCAAGGUUCCAGUCGACUAAAUGAGCUUGCCUUCUGCCAGGAGGAAGGCAGUCCUGCAAGACAGAACCAAAGUGCCAUUCCCCAGGAAGCUCUUCUUUGUCAGAACAUCCCUGGUCCUUUUGUUUUUGUUUCUGAAUUAAAAAGGUGUGUUUGCCUGCC